RNAcentral lists this ribosomal RNA (301 nucleotides) under uncultured bacterium. Its description in RNAcentral is "partial 16S ribosomal RNA". It matches the Rfam family "Bacterial small subunit ribosomal RNA", at positions 509 to 807 of the family's 1533-position model. The record is from RNAcentral.
CAGCAGCCACGGGAAUACGAAGGGGGCUAGCGUUGUUCGGAAUUACUGGGCGUAAAGCGCACGUAGGCGGACAUUUAAGUCAGGGGUGAAAUCCCGGGGCUCAACCCCGGAACUGCCUUUGAUACUGGGUGUCUAGAGUAUGGAAGAGGUGAGUGGAAUUCCGAGUGUAGAGGUGAAAUUCGUAGAUAUUCGGAGGAACACCAGUGGCGAAGGCGGCUUACUGGUCCAUUACUGACGCUGAGGUGCGAAAGCGUGGGGAGCAAACAGGAUUAGAUACCCCCGUAGUCCCUGUCUCUUAUAC